RNAcentral lists this unclassified non-coding RNA (484 nucleotides) under Hevea brasiliensis (rubber tree). The record is from RNAcentral. Lineage: Eukaryota; Viridiplantae; Streptophyta; Magnoliopsida; Malpighiales; Euphorbiaceae.
AAAUAAUGUAGAAUUCAUACCAACAAGGGUUAAAUGUUGCAUUUUUUAGUAAUGUUAAUAUAAAAAUUGAAAAUAUGAAUUUUGAAAUAAUAUAGAUUAAAGUGUGAAAGAGUGGCUUUCAUAUAACAAGAAAGUUAUUUCAUUUGUGAUUUAAAUAUCAGCAAUACGAGUCACUCUGCAAACUAAAAAUUACACUGCUAAUAUCAAUUCUUCCCAAAACUCACAGAUAUAAGAUAUUUCGAGUACUAGAUCACUAUAUAUAUAUUACAGCAAACUUGAGGGGAUAUUAGUAUCCCAAGAAAAUUAUCAAGAAAAGACCAUUAUAAAAUUUUUUACAUAGUAUUUAACCUUGAGGAUUUCUUCAUAUUUCAUAUAGAGACCAUUAAAAUUCAUGUAUUCAAAUUUAUUUAAAAUGCAAUUAACAUCUGAAUAUGAAAUGAGAGGAGAAUUAUUUUGCUAACCUCCUUGGGGCUCAUUUGAUACA